UGGGGAAACCCAGUGUGACUCGUCACACUAUCAUUAACUGAAUCCAUAGGUUAAUGAGGCGAACCGGGGGAACUGAAACAUCUAAGUACCCCGAGGAAAAGAAAUCAACCGAGAUUCCCCCAGUAGCGGCGAGCGAACGGGGAGGAGCCCAGAGCCUGAAUCAGCAUGUGUGUUAGUGGAAGCGUCUGGAAAGGCGCGCGAUACAGGGUGACAGCCCCGUACACAAAAGCGCAURUGCUGUGAGCUCGAUGAGUAGGGCGGGACACGUGGUAUCCUGUCUGAAUAUGGGGGGACCAUCCUCCAAGGCUAAAUACUCCUGACUGACCGAUAGUGAACCAGUACCGUGAGGGAAAGGCGAAAAGAACCCCGGCGAGGGGAGUGAAAAAGAACCUGAAACCGUGUACGUACAAGCAGUGGGAGCACAGGUUUACCUGUGUGACUGCGUACCUUUUGUAUAAUGGGUCAGCGACUUAUAUUCUGUAGCAAGGUUAACCGAAUAGGGGAGCCGGAGGGAAACCGAGUCUUAAUUGGGCGUUAAGUUGCAGGGUAUAGACCCGAAACCCGGUGAUCUAGCCAUGGGCAGGUUGAAGGUUGGGUAACACUAACUGGAGGACCGAACCGACUAAUGUUGAAAAAUUAGCGGAUGACCUGUGGCUGGGGGUGAAAGGCCAAUCAAACCGGGAG
This 684-nucleotide ribosomal RNA is filed under the name Salmonella enterica. RNAcentral's name for it is "partial 23S ribosomal RNA". Lineage: Bacteria; Pseudomonadati; Pseudomonadota; Gammaproteobacteria; Enterobacterales; Enterobacteriaceae. The record is from RNAcentral.